UUUUAAAGGCUGGGCUGAUUUGGCAAAAAAGAAAAACAAUUACAUCUGCAGUAGUUUAGUGAUGUGUCCUAGACCUCCAGUUAUCACAGAGGCUUUGUCAUUCCUUUUCCUUCACAGGAGAGUAAUUACACAAUGUAUACUCACCCUUUUCCUUUCUGUUCUCACAGAGCGCUGUCAUUUCUCAGAAGAGUAUUAGCCCAGUGCAAAAGAUGUCAAAUAGUUGUCUAUCUUUUCUUUAACAUUUAAAUUGUAUUUAACAAAUCUUUGAGGUGUUCCAGUGAUGGGUGGGUGUUGUUGUUCUUCAGACCUGGCAGGCAGGUAAAAAUAGGGAAGAGCACAAUAUCUGACCCAAUGCUAAACUGAAGGGCAAAGGCAGUGCUGGUUGGCCAAUGGCAGAGAUUAGAAGAGUUUGAAACUGUUCAUCAGCUGCUUGGGCUGAAGCUGCAGAACUCAUUUAACCCCAAACUUCGGGGAGCUCAUGUGUCCUCUAUAUGUGUUACACACUGUACGAUGGUACCAAUAAAUAACAGUUUUGCUCAUCUCCAUUUGUCCAGGAGCUACUAUUCUUUUGCGAUGUGUCUGUUUGUACUCUCCUUUGCCAUACCAUCUGCCAUAACAAGCCACAGGCCUGAGCCCAGCAUUUCUGAAAAACUGCCUCCAGUUUUGAGGUGGAGAAUGACUUCUCUGCUGCCAUUUUAAUGUUCUUCUGUAUGGGAGAAAAGGUCACUAUGGAAUCUGGACCUAGACCAUGAAAUCAUCAGCCCACAGGAACUGUGGGUUAUCUCAACCUUUGGCACCUCUAAUACAAGCACAGAGGAAUGAGGACAUUCAGAAAAACAUCCUAAAAACUCUGAAAGCACUCAGUCAAACCAGAAUAUUACAGAAGUUGGUUUUUCUUCUGGGAAAGGAAAGACAAAACAUACGCACCAUAUAAUAAUCAUGUGACUUAAUGUUCUCCUGCAAUCGUGUGCAGCUUCUGAGAGGACAAAAGCAGUAUAAAAAAAAUAAACUGUGGAUAAUAGAACAGAUUGGACAGCACUGUUCACUAAAUUCACAGAACCAUUUUGAUUAACCUGAAGAAGAGGAUGGGUGAGAUGUGCACAGAGGCAUUUCUAGCAGUUUUUAUUUUUUCUCCAGAUUGGAAUCAGAACUUCAGUCAACAGGAAAAGCUAAAUGAGACAGCUGCAGAGGACACAGCUGAGAAGAAAUUCUCACAUAUGCUCAGAGAGAAGUGUGUGGUCUUUGAAGCAGUGACAUUGUCAAAAAAAAAAAAAAUUAAAAAAAUCCCACGGGGAUUGUGACUCCCUAAGGCUCAGCACAGUGUGGGCACCAUCAGGACUGAGGAUCAGGCCAUGUCCACAGGCUGGCUGCAGGUUUGGAUGGUAAUUUCCUGCUUCAUAAGGGCAACAGGAUGAGAGUCACUGCAGGCGUAUUGCCCCGAGCAUGCCCUGCACGCAGAUAAUGACACUGCUGAGGCAGCUGAGCCCUCCCAUUUCCUUCGGCGAAUAAACACCUCUGCUUCCUCUUGAUUCUCCCAACAGAUAUUUGGCUACAGAGCUUCUCAAUUUCCUCAUGAGAGAUGAAGAAAAGUCUAGGUUUUUCCCAGUUGCGCAUAUCCCCCCAAUUAUAAUCUUGGCAUGCAUCAAGACAUGAUUUCCUCUUUCAUCAGCUAGACCUUUGCAGAAGAAUCCCCUGGCUCCUGAGCUGCCAGCAAACACUCUCUUGGAUUUACCUUGGCUUGAGAGAGGGCAUGGCAUACUGGAAAGCUAUGUGCCGGUGCCUCAUCAAUGACUAAGAGUAAGCUUCAAUCUAAAGGCAGCAGGAGGACACUUCUUGGUUUUACCCCACUCACACCCUUGACAUUUCAGCAGCAGUUCCCUGUCUCCCACCUUCACUCACCUCUGGUCCCUUUUCCACAAGAGUUGGACAGCAGAGACAUUGCCAAGGCCUUUGCUGCACCAAACCUAUAGCUGUAACACCAGUAAAGCCACAUGCACAGUGAAGGACAGCCAUGACAUUUUUUUCUGAAGCCUCUACAUGUGCAGACACUCUGAAGGAGAACCCAUGACAGCUUGACACCAUCUUCCUCCCGGGAGCCAGUGCCACUGACACUAGCCUCCUCUUGGGAACAGCAAGGACAACAGAGCCUCAUCUUCAGGGGACAAAUGGAGUCUGGGGAUGUAAGUGCUUCAGCUGGAAUCCCUUCAGGCACCUUUUGAUUUCUCAUGAUCUCCCAGUUUUGACCAUCAAUGCACAUAACUGAAGAAUGGCCUAAUAAUUAGGUAAGUAUCAAACACCUAGAUAGAAUCAUAGAACCAAAGAAUCAUUAAGGUUGGAAAGACCAAUAAGAUCGUCUAGUCCAAUCAUCAACCCAUGUCUGUGACUACUCCAUACCACAUUCCCCAGUGGACAUCUACCCUAUUCUUGAACAACUCCAUGGAUGGUGACUAUUCCAAUGCGUCACCACCCUUCCUGAGAAGAAGUUUUUCCUAAUACCCAACAUGAUCCUCCCGUGGUGCAACAUGAGGCCAUUCCCUCUUGUCGUAUUGCUGUUACUUGGGAGAUCAUGGCUGGCUACCAACAGACUUAAAUUGCACUCAGAGGAUUUCUUGAAGUUUUCGGAGAUGAUCAAAACUCCUGAAGUGGCCCAAGAGCUCAGUGUUUAAUGCAGGUUAGCAGGACUUGAUGUGUAUAGUGGAUGGACCAUUUAGGAAAUUGUCCCAGAAGUCUUUGUUCUGCCCCUCAGUAUGCUGCCAGCACGUAUUGAUGGAAAAAAAAAAAACACCAUCUAUUCAGAAGAGGGAACAAUCAGGCCUUGAAUAACCAUUCUUAAUGAAUUCUGAAAUAACUAAACCAUAUACUCCAUUAAUUACUGCUCUCCAGAAGACAUAUUUUAACAGCAUGAAUGCAAAAAUCAGAGUGUACACGAAUGCAAGAAAUAUUUGUUCCCCUGGGCCAAAAGCUGCUUUCAGUUACACCCAAGAAACCACAUUAAAGCCUCUUGCUUGCAGGGUGCCAAGCCAUCCUGCCCAGCUCUGAAUCCCAUUUGCUGCUGUUGACAUCAGCAAGCAUAGCAGACGCCCACGAUGGUGGCUCAGUGCUUUCCAGACAAAGCAUCAGUGACCCAGAAUGGCGAUGCACGUGUGUGUGUGCUGACUUCUGCAUCCAUCACCCCAUUUGUGUUGGUGGCAUCUGGACUCAAGCCUACAGGAUACAGGGAGACAGUCCCUGCAGCAGAGCUUGACUCAGUCCACUGUCUAUUUUGGCACUAGAAGUUAGCUUCUGCCUUCUCAGAGAUGAUUAAUUUUGAUAAUUGGCUUUGCUUUUUUUGUGAUUUCUGGACAAUGCUGCUGUUAAUGAAAGUGAGAGAAGAGGAGGUGUAGCUGAAGUCAGAGCUGCACACAGCUGAGCACCUCUCCUCACAGCAUCUCCAUCCUGACCCAAAAACCACACUGCCUGAAACACAAAGACAGGGUCUCUGGCAAACAGGGGAUUGUUCUAACCCACCGCACCACCUAGUGACAGCACAUUUAAAAACACCCAAUUCCCCCCCACCCAUGCAUUUUAUUCCAAAACGUCCUAAAUAUUUGCUCUUUAAACAGCCCAUUUCCACACUCAGUCUCCACUUAAAAUGCUUGUUCUGUUUUGUUUUGCUUUAUUCUGGGGGCCUCCCAAGGGCAGUGUCCAGCAAAAUGGCUGGGGAACAGGGCUCCAGCCAUGAGCUGUCCUUUCUGAUGCUGUGUUCCCACUUUGCUAUUUCAUGACCAACUCUGCUGAAAUGAUGCAUGACAAUUUGUAGAUCCCUGAACAGACCAGCUUUCUACCCAAAUACGUGAGUAGAAAAAGUGUAUUGCUAAACACAACAAAAGGAGUGAGCAAUGGAAUAAAAACACAGGCUAAUGCUCAGGGAUGGCAACAUGCUCAACUGAUGCCUCCAAGUUUAUGCACUUAGAAUAAUAAGUGCAUUGUCAGGACCUCACCUCCCCCUGGUCAGUCAUGUGGGGCCUUUUGAAUUUGGCAUUUUAAUCAUGUUUUGGUGAGAGAAACGUGCAAGAAACAAAUGUUAACUUUCUGGCUGAUCACAGUAGGGAUGAGUAUAUGCUACCUCUGGACCAAAAAUCUGGAAGCACAUGGGUAUCUUUCAUAAGAUACCAACAUGUGCAAAACAAACAAACAAACAAACAAACAAAUAAGAUAAUCUUGCAGGCAGUGUCACUGCUGAACUUGCUACUGCUAAUGAACAAUAUUUGUUUGGGAUCUAGUACUCCUUGGAGACUGCUGAGCUGCCCGAAUAGCUGAGCCUCUUUCGAAAGGCACUCCCUUUGUUUUCAAACACACUGCAUACUGAGGCAGCACUUUCAGCCUUGGAGAAACACUUCAUCUGCACACUUUAACUUUUCAUUUAUAGAGCUAUGAUCUUAUCAUUUUCUUUAAUGAAAAGAAAAAUCCCAGCUAUUCAGGUGAUAGCUCUAUUAGAGAUGUUAAUGAAUACAAAAAGUCCAUUAUCUCAGAAUGGAAUUUUUUUUUUUUUCAGGCAAAAAUCUAUUGCUUCACUGACAGACAAAAAGCUGUCUUCAAUUUAUUAUAAGAAUUGCUAGGAGAAAUAAUCUCCCUCCAUUAGUUUUAUUCUUUUAAUCAUGAAAAUAUUCCUAUAAUUAUCAUUAUGUAGAAUCAUUUGCAUUCAAAAAAACUUAAAGCUGUGUCUAAAUUACCAGGCAAACUCUAUAUUCAUACAUUUAUGGGCUGUGCUGCCAGAAAGAAAAAAUAAUUAACUUCUCAGUAAAAAUCCUAAUGAUGUUAAUUUUAUUACAGCAGAUCAUGCCAGUAUACGAGAAGAUUAAUUCCAAUAUUGUACAUUUGUUUUCUCAUUGUCUUAUUAAAAAAACACAGGAUGUA
Molecule: long non-coding RNA, 4896 nt
Organism: Numida meleagris (helmeted guineafowl)
Lineage: Eukaryota; Metazoa; Chordata; Aves; Galliformes; Numididae
Exons: 3
Source: RefSeq, a predicted model, not a curated record